CUUAGAACUGCUUGUUCCCAGUUGUUCUAACAGGUUUGAAAAUGUUCCAUACAUUUUCAAACCUGUUAGAACAACUGGGAACAAGCAGUGCGAACACAACUUGUU
This 105-nucleotide microRNA precursor is filed under the name Paramuricea clavata. Lineage: Eukaryota; Metazoa; Cnidaria; Anthozoa; Malacalcyonacea; Plexauridae. The record is from RNAcentral.